UGGGGAAUAUUGCACAAUGGGGGAAACCCUGAUGCAGCAACGCCGCGUGAGUGAUGAAGGUUUUCGGAUCGUAAAGCUCUGUCUUUGGGGAAGAUAAUGACGGUACCCAAGGAGGAAGCCACGGCUAACUACGUGCCAA
RNAcentral lists this ribosomal RNA (139 nucleotides) under uncultured bacterium. RNAcentral describes it as "partial 16S rRNA". It matches the Rfam family "Bacterial small subunit ribosomal RNA", at positions 355 to 511 of the family's 1533-position model. The record is from RNAcentral.